GACGAACGCUGGCGGCGUGCUUAACACAUGCAAGUCGAACGGAAAGGCCCUGCUUUUGUGGGGUGCUCGAGUGGCGAACGGGUGAGUAACACGUGAGUAACCUGCACUUGACUUUGGGAUAACUUCAGGAAACUGGGGCUAAUACCGGAUAGGAGCUCCUGCUGCAUGGUGGGGGUUGGAAAGUUUCGGCGGUUGGGGAUGGACUCGCGGCUUAUCAGCUUGUUGGUGGGGUAGUGGCUUACCAAGGCUUUGACGGGUAGCCGGCCUGAGAGGGUGACCGGCCACAUUGGGACUGAGAUACGGCCCAGACUCCUACGGGAGGCAGCAGUGGGGAAUAUUGCACAAUGGGCGGAAGCCUGAUGCAGCAACGCCGCGUGCGGGAUGACGGCCUUCGGGUUGUAAACCGCUUUCGCCUGUGGCGAAGCGUGAGUGACGGUAAUGGGUAAAGAAGCACCGGCUAACUACGUG
This 468-nucleotide ribosomal RNA is filed under the name uncultured bacterium. RNAcentral describes it as "partial 16S ribosomal RNA". It matches the Rfam family "Bacterial small subunit ribosomal RNA", at positions 28 to 507 of the family's 1533-position model. The record is from RNAcentral.